Molecule: RNA transcript, 1467 nt
Organism: Brienomyrus brachyistius
Lineage: Eukaryota; Metazoa; Chordata; Actinopteri; Osteoglossiformes; Mormyridae
Gene name: bromodomain-containing protein 4-like
Exons: 5
Source: RefSeq, a predicted model, not a curated record
GGUCAGUUAUUUUAAUUCAAUCUUGGGCACAUUUGUUGGUAGAUUUAGAUUUGUUUGUUCGGACGGACAAUGUUGACGCUAAAAUGUCAAUUUUCCAGUGAACUGCCUGGUUCUCCUAAUUUGAAAAUCUGUCGUGCAUCAUUUAAUUUAGUUUAAGUGAAUCCAGUAUGAUAACAGGAAAAAUAAAACCACCUGGAAAGCAUGACCCCACAAAUUCCUCAUCUGUAUUUAUAUCUUUGGAAAAAUGCAAGAAAAAUACAAAUGGUGAUCCCUUUUCCACACCUCACUGGCUGCAGUUUCUCUCUUGUGUUUCUGAAAAAUUUGUUUUAGGUGAAUAGAAAGACUGGGCCUGUCUCCAGCUCCACCUUAAGAUGGAGGACCCUUGUAGAUGUAGAAAAAUUACUUCAACAGAUUACGGAUGACUCCACAAAGUUGACUGACUGUCAGAUAACAGAGGGUGACCUUGGACAUGUCAGUGGAGAGUUUUUUGAAAAAGGUUUAAAUUGCUUUGACUGGGAAACGUAUGAUGUCAGAAUGCUCAAAUCAUGUGGCGCAACAGCGCUUGAAUAAGUCGCUGUCAUGCAGCACGUCAGAUUUGCAGGAAGAAGAGGAAAUUCGACCCAAGAGAAAGCCAAAGGCGAUUCAUUUGUUUGGAGAUUCGGAUGAUGACACUGGGGAAGAAGAUCAUCAAAGAAAGAGAGCCAGGGGUCGACCCAAACCCCCACCACAGCCACCAGCUCCUGCUGUCCCACCACCACCUUUCCAUGUGCCAAGUAGUAGCACAGUUGUCCCUCCUCCACCCACUCCACCGCUGCAGACAGAAUGUAGAAGACCAACAGAACAGCAAACCCCUUCUGCAAGCCGGGUGCCCACACCCAACUGGCCAGGGGGAAGAUAUGACACAAGCACCAUUCCUGCUCUGCUGCCGAAGUCCAAAUUAUAAGCUUACUGGAGUAUAUAAAACACCAGCAAGAGCAGCUAGUUGAAUUAUCUAACCAGCAGGCUAAACUCAACUGGCCAGGAAAUGCCUGUCCCAGUACAGUUUCCAUUGGCAUCAAUGGAGGAAGUGGAACGUUUUGAGGAAUGGCUCAAAGAUCCUGCACAUUCUCAACUGAAGCAGAGUUUGAUUCUGUAAGAAAGCAUGCAAUGUCCCGUGCUUCUACUGAGCAUGACGUCUAUAAGCAUGCAAUCCGCUGGUUCAGCCUGGCAGCAGAUAGGGGAAGCUUGAGAUGUUGCAGUACACAGGAAGUUCAACCUGCUGACUACAACGCAUCUAACUGACAUGCAUCACAGAGCGUUAUGCCAGUUCUGGUUAAUUUUUCAUUGUUUGUAUAAUUAGUAAGUGUGAGUAUUGUGUUAAUUUCUUUCUGCACUGUUGUUGAAUUUGCAGGUUACCUAAUUCAUUUACUUUUUGACUGAUGUACUGUUUUGAUUCCUGUGACCAAAUAUAUUUAUAUAUUUUCAUCA